UACGAAGGGGGCUAGCGUUGCUCGGAAUUACUGGGCGUAAAGGGCGCGUAGGCGGCACAGCAAGUCGGGAGUGAAAGCCCGGGGCUCAACCCCGGAACUGCUUUCGAAACUGCUGAGCUAGAGUACAGAAGGGGCAACCGGAAUUCCCAGUGUAGCGGUGAAAUGCGUAGAUAUUGGGAAGAACACCUGAGGCGAAGGCGGGUUGCUGGGCUGAUACUGACGCUGAGGCGCGAAAGCCAGGGGAGCAAACGGG
This 253-nucleotide ribosomal RNA is filed under the name uncultured bacterium. RNAcentral's name for it is "partial 16S ribosomal RNA". It matches the Rfam family "Bacterial small subunit ribosomal RNA", at positions 524 to 776 of the family's 1533-position model. The record is from RNAcentral.